Molecule: ribosomal RNA, 839 nt
Filed under: uncultured archaeon
Lineage: Archaea
Description: bacterial SSU rRNA
Rfam family: Archaeal small subunit ribosomal RNA
Source: RNAcentral
AGGUUACUGCUAUCGGUGUUCGCCUAAGCCAUGCGAGUCAUAUGUUCUUCGUGAACAUGGCGUACUGCUCAGUAACACGUGGAUAACCUGCCCUUGGGUCCGGCAUAACCCCGGGAAACUGGGAAUAAUUCCGGAUAACGCACAUAUGCUGGAAUGCUUUAUGCGUCAAAUGGAUUCGUCCGCCCAAGGAUGGGUCUGCGGCCUAUCAGGUAGUAGUGGGUGUAAUGUACCUACUAGCCUACGACGGGUACGGGUUGUGAGAGCAAGAGCCCGGAGAUGGAUUCUGAGACAUGAAUCCAGGCCCUACGGGGCGCAGCAGGCGCGAAAACUUUACAAUGCGGGAAACCGUGAUAAGGGGACACCGAGUGCCAGCAUCAUAUGCUGGCUGUCCGGGUGUGUAAAAUACACCUGUUAGCAAGGGCCGGGCAAGACCGGUGCCAGCCGCCGCGGUAACACCGGCGGCCCGAGUGGUGAUCGUAAUUAUUGGGUCUAAAGGGUCCGUAGCCGGUUUGGUCAGUCCUCCGGGAAAUCUGACGGCUUAACCGUUAGGCUUUCGGGGGAUACUGCCAGACUUGGAACCGGGAGAGGUAAGAGGUACUACAGGGGUAGGAGUGAAAUCUUGUAAUCCCUGUGGGACCACCUGUGGCGAAGGCGUCUUACCAGAACGGGUUCGACGGUGAGGGACGAAAGCUGGGGGCACGAACCGGAUUAGAUACCCGGGUAGUCCCAGCCGUAAACGAUGCUCGCUAGGUGUCAGGCAUGGCGCGACCGUGUCUGGUGCCGCAGGGAAGCCGUGAAGCGAGCCACCUGGGAAGUACGGCCGCAAGGCUGAAACUUAA